Mytilus californianus (California mussel) is the source of this 9671-nucleotide long non-coding RNA. RefSeq lists it as uncharacterized. The transcript is spliced from 6 exons. Lineage: Eukaryota; Metazoa; Mollusca; Bivalvia; Mytilida; Mytilidae. The record is from RefSeq and is a predicted model, not a curated record.
AUAAAACUUGUCCGAGAUAUUGCUGAUAUUAACCUAUAGUAUAAGUUUUAUAAUAAACUGCUUUGCUGAGAGCAGCUGGAUACGCCCGCAGAGGUCCAACCCUGAACAGUUGGGGCAAAAAUGGACACAAUAUUCAAGCUUGAUACAGGUCUGAAUUUGGAUUGUAAUUAAAUAUUUGACAUAUUAUAGGUUUCUGAAUAAAUGUAGUCAAAAAACUUGAAAUUGGUUAUAUGAAUUGAAUUUAUAUUCAAUUAAAGAUUUCUUGCUGUUGUACAUGUGCAAUACACUAUGCUGCUGCACAAUACUUAGUAAACCUGUUGUUGGACUAUAAACAAAUAAAAUUUAUAAAAUUCUAGAGGGAGCUUACAUCAAUAGAUAUAAUCAAUGCACCAAAGUUUCAUAAGAAUUGCUGAAAGCAUUUUUGAGUUAUUGUCUGAAAACUGGAAAAUCCCCCCUUUUUAAAUGAAUAAAACCCCAUAACUCGGAAAUGUAAAAUCUAAAAUUUAUAAAAUUCUAAAGGGACCUUACAUCAAUAGAUAUCAACAAUUCAUCAAAGUUUCAUGAGAACUGCUGAAAUCAUUUUUGAGUUAUUGUCCGAAAACUGGAAAAUCUCCCUUUUUUUUUAUGAAUAAAACCCUGUAACUUGGAAACGUAAAAUCUAAAAUUUAUAAAAAUCAAAAGGGAGCUCAUGUCAAUACAUAUAAACAAUUAACCAAAAUUUCUUGCAAGUUGGUGAAAGCAUUCUUGAGUUAUUGUCUGAAAACUGGAAAAUCCCCCUCUUUUUAAUGAAUAAAACCCCAUAACUCAGAAAUGUAAAAUCUAAAAUUUAUAAAAAACGAAAGGGAGCUCACGUCAAUAGUUAUAAACAAAUCACCAAAGUUUUAUGCAAAUUGGUUAAAGAGUUUUUGAAAUAAUGUCCGACAUGUUGACUACGGACGGACAGACGGAUGGACGGACAGACAGACAGACGGACAACGGUAUACCAUAAUGCGUCCUGUAAAAGGGGGUAUCAAAACCUUGUUUUUGCCCCCUUUUUUUGCCCCUAAUUCCUGAACAGUUUGGGCCAUAACCCCCAAGGCCAAUCCCAACCUUCCCUUUGUGGUACGGAACCUUGUGGUACAAUUUCAUAGAGAUCCAUACACUUGUACACAAGUUAUUGUAGGCAACCUAGAAUAAAAUCCUUCACUGGGGCGCAGCUUGAUACGACCGCAGAGGUCGAACCCGGAACAGUUGGGGCAAGAAUGGACACAACAUUCAAGCUUGAUACAGCUCUGAAUUUGGAUUGUUAUUAAAUAUUUGACACAGCAUAGGUUUCUGACACAGAAAGAAUGUGAUCUAAGAACUUGAAUUUUUUUAAUUUACCUAUUAUGGUCCAAUGUCCAAAAUCAAAAUACAUGGUUAGAUUCAGCAUAUCAAAGAACCCCAUAUUUUCAAUUUUUGUUGAAAUCAAACAAAGUUUAAUUUUGGACCCCAACUUGGACCAACUUGAAAACUGGGCCCAUAAUCAAAAAUCUAAACACAUGUUUAGAUUUAGCAUAUCAAAGAACCCUAAGAAUUCAAUUUUUGUUAAAAUCAAACUAAGUUUAAUUUUGGACCCUUUGGACCUCAAUGAAGACCAAUUUUAAAAAAUGGGACCCAAAUUAAAAAUCUAAAAACACGGUUAGAUUUGGCAUAUCAAAGAACCCCAAUAAUUCAAUUUUUGAUGAAAUCAAACAAAGUUUAAUUUUAGACCCUUUUGACCUCAAUAUGAACCAAUUUUAUAGCGGGGCCCACAAAUAAAAAAUCUAAAUACAUGGUUAGAUUCAGCAUAUCAAAGAACCUCAUUUAUUCAAUUUUUGUUGAAAUCAAACAAAGUUUAAUUUUGGACCCCAAUUUAGACCAACUUGAAAACUGGGCCCAUAAUCAAAAAUCUAAAUACAUGUUUAGAUUCAGCAUAUCAAAGAACCCCAUAUAUUCAAUUUUUGUUGAAAUCAAACAAAGUUUAAAUACUGGACCCUAUCUUGGACCAACUUGAAAACUGGGCCCAUAAUCAAAAAUCUAAACACAUGAGAACUUGAAUUUUUUUAAUUUACCUAUUAUGGUCCAAUGUCCAAAAUCAAAAUACAUGGUUAGAUUCAGCAUAUCAAAGAACCCCAUAUUUUCAAUUUUUGUUGAAAUCAAACAAAGUUUAAUUUUGGACCCCAACUUGGACCAACUUGAAAACUGGGCCCAUAAUCAAAAAUCUAAACACAUGUUUAGAUUUAGCAUAUCAAAGAACCCUAAGAAUUCAAUUUUUGUUAAAAUCAAACUAAGUUUAAUUUUGGACCCUUUGGACCUCAAUGAAGACCAAUUUUAAAAAAUGGGACCCAAAUUAAAAAUCUAAAAACACGGUUAGAUUUGGCAUAUCAAAGAACCCCAAUAAUUCAAUUUUUGAUGAAAUCAAACAAAGUUUAAUUUUAGACCCUUUUGACCUCAAUAUGAACCAAUUUUAUAGCGGGGCCCACAAAUAAAAAAUCUAAAUACAUGGUUAGAUUCAGCAUAUCAAAGAACCUCAUAUAUUCAAUUUUUGUUGAAAUCAAACAAAGUUUAAUUUUGGACCCCAAUUUAGACCAACUUGAAAACUGGGCCCAUAAUCAAAAAUCUAAAUACAUGUUUAGAUUCAGCAUAUCAAAGAACCCCAUAUAUUCAAUUUUUGUUGAAAUCAAACAAAGUUUAAAUACUGGACCCUAUCUUGGACCAACUUGAAAACUGGGCCCAUAAUCAAAAAUCUAAACACAUGUUUAGAUUUAGCAUAUCAAAGAACCCCAAGAAUUCAAUUUUUGUUAAAAUCAAACUAAGUUUAAUUUUGGACCCUUUGGACCUCAAUGAAGACCAAUUUUAAAAAAUGGGACCCAAAUUAAAAAUCUAAAAACACGGUUAGAUUUGGCAUAUCAAAGAACCCCAAUAAUUCAAUUUUUGAUGAAAUCAAACAAAGUUUAAUUUUAGACCCUUUUGACCUCAAUAUGAACCAAUUUUAUAGCGGGGCCCACAAAUAAAAAAUCUAAAUACAUGGUUAGAUUCAGCAUAUCAAAGAACCUCAUAUAUUCAAUUUUUGUUGAAAUCAAACAAAGUUUAAUUUUGGACCCCAAUUUAGACCAACUUGAAAACUGGGCCCAUAAUCAAAAAUCUAAAUACAUGUUUAGAUUCAGCAUAUCAAAGAACCCCAUAUAUUCAAUUUUUGUUGAAAUCAAACAAAGUUUAAAUACUGGACCCUAUCUUGGACCAACUUGAAAACUGGGCCCAUAAUCAAAAAUCUAAACACAUGAGAACUUGAAUUUUUUUAAUUUACCUAUUAUGGUCCAAUGUCCAAAAUCAAAAUACAUGGUUAGAUUCAGCAUAUCAAAGAACCCCAUAUUUUCAAUUUUUGUUGAAAUCAAACAAAGUUUAAUUUUGGACCCCAACUUGGACCAACUUGAAAACUGGGCCCAUAAUCAAAAAUCUAAACACAUGUUUAGAUUUAGCAUAUCAAAGAACCCUAAGAAUUCAAUUUUUGUUAAAAUCAAACUAAGUUUAAUUUUGGACCCUUUGGACCUCAAUGAAGACCAAUUUUAAAAAAUGGGACCCAAAUUAAAAAUCUAAAAACACGGUUAGAUUUGGCAUAUCAAAGAACCCCAAUAAUUCAAUUUUUGAUGAAAUCAAACAAAGUUUAAUUUUAGACCCUUUUGACCUCAAUAUGAACCAAUUUUAUAGCGGGGCCCACAAAUAAAAAAUCUAAAUACAUGGUUAGAUUCAGCAUAUCAAAGAACCUCAUAUAUUCAAUUUUUGUUGAAAUCAAACAAAGUUUAAUUUUGGACCCCAAUUUAGACCAACUUGAAAACUGGGCCCAUAAUCAAAAAUCUAAAUACAUGUUUAGAUUCAGCAUAUCAAAGAACCCCAUAUAUUCAAUUUUUGUUGAAAUCAAACAAAGUUUAAAUACUGGACCCUAUCUUGGACCAACUUGAAAACUGGGCCCAUAAUCAAAAAUCUAAACACAUGUUUAGAUUUAGCAUAUCAAAGAACCCCAAGAAUUCAAUUUUUGUUAAAAUCAAACUAAGUUUAAUUUUGGACCCUUUGGACCUCAAUGAAGACCAAUUUUAAAAAAUGGGACCCAAAUUAAAAAUCUAAAAACACGGUUAGAUUUGGCAUAUCAAAGAACCCCAAUAAUUCAAUUUUUGAUGAAAUCAAACAAAGUUUAAUUUUAGACCCUUUUGACCUCAAUAUGAACCAAUUUUAUAGCGGGGCCCACAAAUAAAAAAUCUAAAUACAUGGUUAGAUUCAGCAUAUCAAAGAACCUCAUAUAUUCAAUUUUUGUUGAAAUCAAACAAAGUUUAAUUUUGGACCCCAAUUUAGACCAACUUGAAAACUGGGCCCAUAAUCAAAAAUCUAAAUACAUGUUUAGAUUCAGCAUAUCAAAGAACCCCAUAUAUUCAAUUUUUGUUGAAAUCAAACAAAGUUUAAAUACUGGACCCUAUCUUGGACCAACUUGAAAACUGGGCCCAUAAUCAAAAAUCUAAACACAUGUUUAGAUUUAGCAUAUCAAAGAACCCCAAGAAUUCAAUUUUUGUUAAAAUCAAACUAAGUUUAAUUUUGGACCCUUUGGACCUCAAUGAAGACCAAUUUUAAAAAAUGGGACCCAAAUUAAAAAUCUAAAAACACGGUUAGAUUUGGCAUAUCAAAGAACCCCAAUAAUUCAAUUUUUGAUGAAAUCAAACAAAGUUUAAUUUUAGACCCUUUUGACCUCAAUAUGAACCAAUUUGAUAGCAGGGCCCACAAAUAAAAAAUCUAAAUACAUGGUUAGAUUCAGCAUAUCAAAGAACCUCAUAUAUUCAAUUUUUGUUGAAAUCAAACAAAGUUUAAUUUUGGACCCCAAUUUGGACCAACUUGAAAACUGGGCCCAUAAUCAAAAAUCUAAAUACAUGUUUAGAUUCAGCAUAUCAAAAAACCCCAUAUAUUCAAUUUUUGUUGAAAUCAAACAAAGUUUAAAUACUGGACCCUAUCUUGGACCAACUUGAAAACUGGGCCCAUAAUCAAAAAUCUAAACACAUGUUUAGAUUCAGCAUAUCAAAGAACCCCAAGAAUUCAAUUUUUGUUAAAAUCAAACUAAGUUUAAUUUUGGACCCUUUGGACCUUAAUGUAGACCAAUUUAAAUAAAAUGCUCCGCAGGGCGCAGCUUGAUACGACCACAGAGGUCGAACCCUGAACAGUUGGGGCAAGUAUGGACACAACAUUCAAGCUUGAUACAGCUCUGAAUUUGGAUUGUGAUUAAAUAUUUGACACAGCAUAGGUUUCUGACACAGAAUGAAUGUGGUCUUUGAACUUAAAAAUUUUAAAUUGGAAAUUCACCUAUUAUGGUCCAAUAUCCAAAAUCUAAAUACAUGGUUAGAUUCAGCAUAUCAAAGAACCCCAAGAAUUCAAUUUUUGAUGAAAUCAAACAAAGUUUAAUUUAGGACCCUUUUGACCUCAAUGUGGACAAAGUUGAUAAUGGGGUCCAAAAAUCAAAAAUCUAAAUACAUGGUUAGAUUCAGCAUAUCAAAGAACCCCAUAUAUUCAAUUUUUGUUGAAAUCAAACAAAGUUUAAUUUUGGACCCCGAUUUGGACCAACUUGAAAACUGGGCCCAUAAUCAAAAAUCUUAAUACAUGUUUAGAUUCAGCAUAUCAAAGAACCCUAAGAAUUCAAUUUUUGUUAAAAUCAAACUAAGUUUAAUUUUGGACCCUUUGGACCUUAAUGUAGACCAAUUUGAAAACGGAACCAAAAAUUAAGAAUCUAAAUACACGGUUAGAUUCGCCAUAUCAAAGAACCCCAAUAAUUCAGUUUUUGAUGAAAUCAAACGAACUUUAAUUUUGGACCCUUUGGACCUCAAUGUGGACCAAUUUAAAAACGGGGCCCAAAAUCCAAAAACUAAAUAUACGGUUAGAAUCAGCAUAUUAAAGAACCCCAAUAAUUCAAUUUUUGAUGAAAUCAAACAUCUUAAUUUUGGACCCUUUGGACCUCAAUGUGGACCAAUUUAAAAACGGGGCCCAAAAUCCAAAAACUUAAUACGCGGUUAGAAUCAGCAUAUUUAAGAACCCCAAGAAUUUAAGAAUAUACCCCAUUGAAAUUGGUCAAGAAAUAAGCAAUUUAUACGAAGUAUCUUCUUUUGCACAAUACUGUGCAAUUGAAUAUUUCUUGCUAUUGCGCAAUAUUGUGCUAUUGGAUAUUUCUUGCUAUUGCACAAUACUGUGCAAUUGAAGAUUUCUUGCUAUUGCGCAAUACUGUGCAAUUGAAGAUUUCUUGCUAUUGUGUAAUACUGUGCAAUUGAAAAUUUCUUGCUAUUGCACAAUACUUAUUAUAUAAUAAUUUACACAUCCUGUUUGGUGUGUAUCUCCUACCAUAUCAUUAUUAUUUGCUUUUAAAUAUAAAACAGAAAUAACCAACUUAAAAUGGAAAAUUUUAAAAGAAAAUAAAAUGCUUCGCUGGGCGCAGCUUGAUACGACCGCAGAGGUCGUACCCUGAACAGUUGGGGGCAAGUAUGGACACAACAUUCAAGCUUGAUACAGGUCUGAAAUUUGGAUUGUGAUUAAAUAUUUGACACAGCAUAGGUUUCUGACACAGAAAGAAUGUGGUCUAAGAACUUGAAUUUUUUCAAUUUACCUAUUAUGGUCCAAUGUCCAAAAUCAAAAUACAUGGUUAGAUUCAGCAUAUCAAAGAACCCCAUAUAUUCAAUUUUUGUUGAAAUCAAACAAAGUUUAAUUUUGGACCCCAACUUGGACAAACUUGCAAACUGGGCCCAUAAUCAAAAAUCUAAAACAUGUUUUUUUGAUGAAAUCAAACAAAGUUUAAUUUUGGACCCUUUGGACCUUAGUGUAGACCAAUUUAAAUAAACUGCUUCGCUGAGCGCAGCUGGAUACGCCCGCAGAGGUCCAACCCUGAACAGUUGGGGCAUAAAUGGACACAAUAUUCAAGCUUGAUACAGGUCUGAAUUUGGAUUGUAAUUAAAUAUUUGAUAUAUUAUAGCUUUCUGAAUAAAUGUAGUCAAAGAACUUGAAAUUGGUUAUAUGAAAGAUUUCUUGCUGUUGUGCAAUACACUGUGCUGUUGCGCAAUACUUAGUAAAUCUGUUGUCAGACUAUAAACAAAUAAAAUCUUAUAACUCUGAAAUAUAAAAUCAAAAAUUUAUAAAAAAUCAAAAGGGAGCUUACAAAAAUAGAUAUAAACAAUUUACCAAAGUCUCAUAAAAAAUAUAAAAAAUAGUUUCAGCAUUUUAGAGAUAUUGUCCGAAAACUGGAAAAUCCCCCUUUUUGUAAUGAAUAAAACCCCAUAACUCAAAAACACAAAAUCUAAACUUGAUAAAAAUCAAAAGGGAGCUCAUGUCAAUAGAUAAAAAUAAAAUGCUCUGCUGGGCGCAGCUUGAUACGACUGCAGAGGUCGAACCCUGAACAGUUGGGGCAAGUAUGGACACAACAUUCAAGCUUGAUACAGCACUGAAUUUGUAUUGUGAUUAAAUAUUUGACACAGCAUAGGUUCUGACACAGAAAGAAUGUGGUCUAAGAACUUCAAUUUUUUUAAUUUACCUAUUAUGGUCCAAUGUCCAAAAUCAAAAUACAUGGUUAGAUUCAGCAUAUCAAAGAACCCCAUAUAUUCAAUUUUUGUUGAAAUCAAACAAAGUUUCAUUUUGGACCCCAACUUGAACAAACUUGAAAACUGGUCCCAUAAUCAAAAAUCUAAACACAUGUUUAGAUUCAGCAUAUCAAAGUACCCCAAGAAUUCAAUUUUUGUUAAAAUCAAACUAAGUUUAAUUUUGGACCCCUUGGACCUUAAUGUAGACCAAUUUAAAAAACGGGACCCAAAAUUAAAAAUCUAAAAACACAGUUAGAUUUGGCAUAUCAAAGAACCCCAAUAAUUCAAUUUUUGAUGAAAUCAAACAAAGUUUAAUUUUGGACCCUUUUGACCUCAAUAUGAACCAAUUUGAUAGCGGGCCCACAAAAUAAAAAAUCUAAAUACAUGGUAAGAUUCAGCAUAUCAAAGAACCCCAUAUAUUCAAUUUUUGUUGAAAUCAAACAAAGUUUAAUUUUGGACCCCAAUUUGGACCAACUUGAAAACUGGGCCAAAAAUCUAAAAUCUAAAUACAUGUUUAGAUUCAGCAUAUCAAAGAACCCCAUAUAUUCAAUUUUUGUUGAAAUCAAACAAAGUUUAAUUUUGGACCCCAACUUGGACCAACUUGAAAACUGGUCCCAUAAUAAAAAAUCUAAACACAUGUUUAGAUUCAGCAUAUCAAAGAACCCCAAAAAUUCAAUUUUUGUUAAAAUCAAACUAAGUUUAAUUUUGGACCCUUUGGACCUUAAUGUAGACCAAUUUAAAAAACGGGACCCAAAAUUAAAAAUCUAAAUACACGGUUAGAUUUGGCAUAUCAAAGAACCCCAAUAAUUGAAUUUUUGAUGAAAUCAAACAAAGUUUAAUUUUGGACCCUUUUGACCUCAAUAUGAACCAAUUUGAUAGCGGGCCCACAAAUAAAAAAUCUAAAUACAUGGUAAAUUUCAGCAUAUCAAAGAACCCCAUAUAUUCAAUUUUUGUUGAAAUCAAACAAAGUUUAAUUUUGGACCCCAAUUUGGACCAACUUGAAAACUGGGCCAAAAAUCUAAAAUCUAAAUACAUGUUUAGAUUCAGCAUAUCAAAGAACCCCAUAUAUUCAAUUUUUGUUGAAAUCAAAAAAAGUUUAAUUUUGGACCCCAACUUGGACCAACUUGAAAACUGGGCCCAUAAUAAAAAAUCUAAACACAUGUUUAGAUUUAGCAUAUCAAAGAACCCCAAGAAUUCAAUUUUUGUUGAAAUCAAAAAAAGUUUAAUUUUGGACCUCAACUUGGACCAACUUGAAAACUGGGCCCAUAAUAAAAAAUCUAAACACAUGUUUAGAUUUAGCAUAUCAAAGAACCCCAAGAAUUCAAUUUUUGUUAAAAUCAAACUAAGUUUAAUUUUGUACCCUUUGGACCUUAAUGUAGACCAAUUUAAAAACGGGACCCAAAAUUAAAAAUCUAAAUACACGGUUAGAUUUGGCAUAUCAAAGAAUCCCAAUAAUUCUAUUUUUGAUGAAAUAAAACAAAGUUUAAUUUUGGACCCUUUUGACCUCAAUAUGAACCAAUUUGAUAGCGGGUCCACAAAUAAAAAAUCUAAAUACAUGGUUAGAUUCAGCAAAUCAAAGAACCCCAAGAAUUCAAUUUUUGAUGAAAUCAAACAAAGUUUAAUUUUGGACCCUUUUGACCUCAAUGUGGACAAAGUUGAUAACGGGGCCCAAAAAUCAAAAAUCUAAAUACAUGGUUAGAUUCAGCAUAUCAAAGAACCCCAUAUAUUCAAUUUUUGUUGAAAUCAAACAAAGUUUAAUUUUGGACCCCGAUUUGGACCAACUUGAAAACUGGGCCCAUAAUCAAAAAUCUAAAUACAUGUUUAGAUUCAGCAUAUCAAAGUACCCUAAAAAUUCAAUUUUUGUUAAAAUCAAACUAAGUUUAAUUUUGGACCCUUUUGACCUUAAUGUAGACCAAUUUGAAAACGGAACCAAAAAUUAAGAAUCUAAAUACACGGUUAGAUUCGGCAUAUCAAAGAACCCCAAUAAUUCAAUUUUUGAUAAAAUCAAACAAAGUUAAAUUUUGGACCCCUUGGACCUCAAUGUGGACCAAUUUAAAAACGGGGCCCAAAAUCCAAAAA